GGGUUGUGAGGUUAAGCGACUAAGCGUACACGGUGGAUGCCCUGGCAGUCAGAGGCGAUGAAGGACGUGCUAAUCUGCGAAAAGCGCCGGCGAGGUGAUAUGAACCCUUGACCCGGCGAUGUCCGAAUGGGGAAACCCAGUGCAAUCCGUUGCACUAUCGUUAACUGAAUACAUAGGUUAACGAGGCGAACCGGGGGAACUGAAACAUCUAAGUACCCCGAGGAAAAGAAAUCAACCGAGAUUCCCCCAGUAGCGGCGAGCGAACGGGGAGCAGCCCGGAGUCUGAAUCAGCUUGUGUGUUAGUGGAACGGUCUGGAAAGUCCGACGGUACAGGGUGAUAGUCCCGUACACGAAAGCACACAUGCUGUGAACUCGAAGAGUAGGGCGGGACACGUGGUAUCCUGUCUGAAUAUGGGGGGACCAUCCUCCAAGGCUAAAUACUCCUGACUGACCGAUAGUGAACCAGUACCGUGAGGGAAAGGCGAAAAGAACCCCGGCGAGGGGAGUGAAAAAGAACCUGAAACCGUGUACGUACAAGCAGUGGGAGCCUCUUUAUGGGGUGACUGCGUACCUUUUGUAUAAUGGGUCAGCGACUUAUAUUCUGUAGCAAGGUUAACCGUAUAGGGGAGCCGAAGGGAAACCGAGUCUUAACUGGGCGUUAAGUUGCAGGGUAUAGACCCGAAACCCGGUGAUCUAGCCAUGGGCAGGUUGAAGGUUGGGUAACACUAACUGGAGGACCGAACCGACUAAUGUUGAAAAAUUAGCGGAUGACCUGUGGCUGGGGGUGAAAGGCCAAUCAAACCGGGAGAUAGCUGGUUCUCCCCGAAAGCUAUUUAGGUAGCGCCUCGUGAACUCAUCUUCGGGGGUAGAGCACUGUUUCGGCUAGGGGGCCAUCCCGGCUUACCAACCCGAUGCAAACUACGAAUACCGAAGAAUGUUAUCACGGGAGACACACGGCGGGUGCUAACGUCCGUCGUGAAGAGGGAAACAACCCAGACCGCCAGCUAAGGUCCCAAAGUCAUGGUUAAGUGGGAAACGAUGUGGGAAGGCACAGACAGCCAGGAUGUUGGCUUAGAAGCAGCCAUCAUUUAAAGAAAGCGUAAUAGCUCACUGGUCGAGUCGGCCUGCGCGGAAGAUGUAACGGGGCUAAACCAUGCACCGAAGCUGCGGCAGCGACACUAUGUGUUGUUGGGUAGGGGAGCGUUCUGUAAGCCGUUGAAGGUGUGCUGUGAGGCAUGCUGGAGGUAUCAGAAGUGCGAAUGCUGACAUAAGUAACGAUAAAGCGGGUGAAAAGCCCGCUCGCCGGAAGACCAAGGGUUCCUGUCCAACGUUAAUCGGGGCAGGGUGAGUCGACCCCUAAGGCGAGGCCGAAAGGCGUAGUCGAUGGGAAACAGGUUAAUAUUCCUGUACUUGGUGUUACUGCGAAGGGGGGACGGAGAAGGCUAUGUCAGCCGGGCGACGGUUGUCCCGGUUUAAGCAUGUAGGCGGAGGUUCCAGGUAAAUCCGGUACCUUGUUAACGCUGAGGUGUGAUGACGAGGCACUACGGUGCUGAAGUGAUAAAUGCCCUGCUUCCAGGAAAAGCCUCUAAGCAUCAGGUAACACGAAAUCGUACCCCAAACCGACACAGGUGGUCAGGUAGAGAAUACCAAGGCGCUUGAGAGAACUCGGGUGAAGGAACUAGGCAAAAUGGUGCCGUAACUUCGGGAGAAGGCACGCUGAUGUGUAGGUGAAGCCCCUGCGGGUGGAGCUGAAAUCAGUCGAAGAUACCAGCUGGCUGCAACUGUUUAUUAAAAACACAGCACUGUGCAAACACGAAAGUGGACGUAUACGGUGUGACGCCUGCCCGGUGCCGGAAGGUUAAUUGAUGGGGUUAGCGGCAACGCGAAGCUCUUGAUCGAAGCCCCGGUAAACGGCGGCCGUAACUAUAACGGUCCUAAGGUAGCGAAAUUCCUUGUCGGGUAAGUUCCGACCUGCACGAAUGGCGUAAUGAUGGCCAGGCUGUCUCCACCCGAGACUCAGUGAAAUUGAACUCGCUGUGAAGAUGCAGUGUACCCGCGGCAAGACGGAAAGACCCCGUGAACCUUUACUAUAGCUUGACACUGAACACUGGUCCUUGAUGUGUAGGAUAGGUGGGAGGCUUUGAAGCGUGGACGCCAGUCUGCGUGGAGCCAACCUUGAAAUACCACCCUUUAAUGGCUGGUGUUCUAACGUAGACCCGUAAUCCGGGUUGCGGACAGUGUCUGGUGGGUAGUUUGACUGGGGCGGUCUCCUCCCAAAGAGUAACGGAGGAGCACGAAGGUUGGCUAAUCCUGGUCGGACAUCAGGAGGUUAGUGCAAUGGCAUAAGCCAGCUUGACUGCGAGCGUGACGGCGCGAGCAGGUGCGAAAGCAGGUCAUAGUGAUCCGGUGGUUCUGAAUGGAAGGGCCAUCGCUCAACGGAUAAAAGGUACUCCGGGGAUAACAGGCUGAUACCGCCCAAGAGUUCAUAUCGACGGCGGUGUUUGGCACCUCGAUGUCGGCUCAUCACAUCCUGGGGCUGAAGUAGGUCCCAAGGGUAUGGCUGUUCGCCAUUUAAAGUGGUACGCGAGCUGGGUUUAGAACGUCGUGAGACAGUUCGGUCCCUAUCUGCCGUGGGCGCUGGAGAAUUGAGGGGGGCUGCUCCUAGUACGAGAGGACCGGAGUGGACGCAUCACUGGUGUUCGGGUUGUCAUGCCAAUGGCACUGCCCGGUAGCUAAAUGCGGAAGAGAUAAGUGCUGAAAGCAUCUAAGCACGAAACUUGCCCCGAGAUGAGUUCUCCCUGAGACUUUAAGUCUCCUGAAGGAACGUUGAAGACGACGACGUUGAUAGGUCGGGUGUGUAAGCGCAGCGAUGCGUUGAGCUAACCGAUACUAAUGAACCGUGAGGCUUAACCUUACAACACCGAAGGUGUUU
Molecule: ribosomal RNA, 2932 nt
Filed under: Enterobacter hormaechei subsp. steigerwaltii
Lineage: Bacteria; Pseudomonadati; Pseudomonadota; Gammaproteobacteria; Enterobacterales; Enterobacteriaceae
Description: bacterial LSU rRNA
Rfam family: Bacterial large subunit ribosomal RNA
Source: RNAcentral